This 443-nucleotide ribosomal RNA is filed under the name uncultured bacterium. Its description in RNAcentral is "partial 16S ribosomal RNA". It matches the Rfam family "Bacterial small subunit ribosomal RNA", at positions 338 to 795 of the family's 1533-position model. The record is from RNAcentral.
CCUACGGGAGGCAGCAGUGGGGAAUAUUGCACAAUGGGCGAAAGCCUGAUGCAGCAACGCCGCGUGAAUGAAGAAGGGUUUCGGCUCGUAAACUUCUAUCAACAGGGACGAAAGAAAUGAUGGUACCUGAAUAAGAAGCCCCGGCUAACUACGUGGCAGCAGCCGCGGUAAUACGGAGGGGGCAAGCGUUAUCCGGAAUUACUGGGUGUAAAGGGCGUGUAGGCGGGAAAGCAAGUCAGAUGUGAAAACCAUGGGCUCAACCUGUGGCCUGCAUUUGAAACUGUUUUUCUUGAGUACUGGAGAGGCAGACGGAAUUCCUAGUGUAGCGGUGAAAUGCGUAGAUAUUAGGAGGAACACCAGUGGCGAAGGCGGUCUGCUGGACAGCAACUGACGCUGAGGCGCGAAAGCGUGGGGAGCAAACAGGAUUAGAUACCCCAGUAGUC